This 532-nucleotide ribosomal RNA is filed under the name Calacalles theryi. Its description in RNAcentral is "partial 16S ribosomal RNA". It matches the Rfam family "Bacterial large subunit ribosomal RNA", at positions 1825 to 2625 of the family's 2925-position model. Lineage: Eukaryota; Metazoa; Arthropoda; Insecta; Coleoptera; Curculionidae. The record is from RNAcentral.
GGCGUUUUGAUAAUAAUUUAAGGUCGGGCCUGCCCAAUGAAAUUUUAAAUGGCCGCGGUAUUUUAACCGUGCAAAGGUAGCAUAAUCAUUAGUUUUUUAAUUGAAAGCUGGGAUGAAGGGUUUAAUGAAAAAAUUACUGUCUCUAUCUAAAUUUAUUAGAAAUUUAUUUUUAAGUAAAAAAGCUUAAAUAACUAUUAAAGACGAGAAGACCCCAUAGAGUUUUAUAUCUAAAGAAUUUAUUGUAUUUAGGAUUUUUAAAUUAUUUUUGUAAGGUAUUUAGUUGGGGCGAUUAAAAAAUUUGAGUAACUUUUUUUAAAAUGACCAUUGAUUUAUGAUUAAUUGAUCCUUUUUUUAGAUUAAAAGAUAAAAUUACCUUGGGGAUAACAGCGUAAUUUUUUUUUAAAGUUCCUAUUGAAAUAAAAGAUUGCGACCUCGAUGUUGGAUUAAAAUUUCAUUGCUGGUGCAGCAGCUAGCAAAUUAGGUCUGUUCGACCUUUAAAAUUUUACAUGAUCUGAGUUUAGACCGGUUUGAG